This 256-nucleotide ribosomal RNA is filed under the name uncultured bacterium. RNAcentral describes it as "partial 16S ribosomal RNA". It matches the Rfam family "Bacterial small subunit ribosomal RNA", at positions 521 to 776 of the family's 1533-position model. The record is from RNAcentral.
UAAUACGUAGGGACCGAGCGUUGUCCGGAAUCAUUGGGCGUAAAGCGCGUGUAGGCGGCUUGUCAAGUCCGGUGUGAAAUCUCGGGGCUCAACUCCGAAACUGCACUGGAAACUGGCUUGCUAGAGUCCGGAAGAGGAGAUUGGAAUUCCUGGUGUAGCGGUGAAAUGCGCAGAUAUCAGGAAGAACACCCGUGGCGAAGGCGGAUCUCUGGGACGGUACUGACGCUGAGACGCGAAAGCGUGGGGAGCGAACAGG